GACGAACGCUGGCGGCGUGCUUAACACAUGCAAGUCGAACGGAAAGGCCCUGCUUUUGUGGGGUGCUCGAGUGGCGAACGGGUGAGUAACACGUGAGUAACCUGCCCUUGACUUUGGGAUAACUUCAGGAAACUGGGGCUAAUACCGGAUAGGAGCUCCUGCUGCAUGGUGGGGGUUGGAAAGUUUCGGCGGUUGGGGAUGGACUCGCGGCUUAUCAGCUUGUUGGUGGGGUAGUGGCUUACCAAGGCUUUGACGGGUAGCCGGCCUGAGAGGGUGACCGGCCACAUUGGGACUGAGAGACGGCCCAGACUCCUACGGGAGGCAGCAGUGGGGAAUAUUGCACAACGGGCGGAAGCCUGAUGCAGCAACGCCGCGUGCGGGAUGACGGCCUUCGGGUUGUAAACCGCUUUCGCCUGUGACGAAGCGUGAGUGACGGUAAUGGGUAAAGAAGCACCGGCUAACUACGUG
RNAcentral lists this ribosomal RNA (468 nucleotides) under uncultured bacterium. RNAcentral describes it as "partial 16S ribosomal RNA". It matches the Rfam family "Bacterial small subunit ribosomal RNA", at positions 28 to 507 of the family's 1533-position model. The record is from RNAcentral.